This 468-nucleotide ribosomal RNA is filed under the name uncultured bacterium. Its description in RNAcentral is "partial 16S ribosomal RNA". It matches the Rfam family "Bacterial small subunit ribosomal RNA", at positions 28 to 507 of the family's 1533-position model. The record is from RNAcentral.
GACGAACGCUGGCGGCGUGCUUAACACAUGCAAGUCGAACGGAAAGGCCCUGCUUUUGUGGGGUGCUCGAGUGGCGAACGGGUGAGUAACACGUGAGUAAUCUGCCCUUGACUUUGGGAUAACUUCAGGAAACUGGGGCUAAUACCGGAUAGGAGCUCCUGCUGCAUGGUGGGGGUUGGAAAGUUUCGGCGGUUGGGGAUGGACUCGCGGCUUAUCAGCUUGUUGGUGGGGUAGUGGCUUACCAAGGCUUUGACGGGUAGCCGGCCUGAGAGGGUGACCGGACACAUUGGGACUGAGAUACGGCCCAGACUCCUACGGGAGGCAGCAGUGGGGAAUAUUGCACAAUGGGCGGAAGCCUGAUGCAGCAACGCCGCGUGCGGGAUGACGGCCUUCGGGUUGUAAACCGCUUUCGCCUGUGACGAAGCGUGAGUGACGGUAAUGGGUAAAGAAGCACCGGCUAACUACGUG